Clupea harengus (Atlantic herring) is the source of this 1211-nucleotide long non-coding RNA. The record is from Ensembl. Lineage: Eukaryota; Metazoa; Chordata; Actinopteri; Clupeiformes; Clupeidae.
UGCAAAUGCCAUGUUCAGACUUCUAUUGGUGAAUACGAGCGCCUUAAUUUUCACCACCAUGGAUAGCAACAUUUAAAUAACACCGGUUGGAAUUGUGCUGUCCACUCCAGCCUCCAGGAUUUUGCUUUUUCCACUUGGUCCUGCGGUUAUAAAACCAGAUUUUUACUUGGGUUUCCGUCAGGCUGAGAGACAGUGCGAGAAGAUUGAGCCUCUCACAGACGGACAGAUAGCGCGUGGUUUGAAACUUGUUUUCCAGAGCUACCAGCUGUUCGUGCGCGACUCGGUUUUGCACAGCCAUGUGCGGCGGCGUUUGAGUCGUCUUGUGUCAUUUGCGGCCAAGUGCUUUGUUUUAAAAGCGUUCAUCUUAACUUUAUGACUCAAAGUGAUCAAAUUCUAGUGUUGACUAUUGUGAGAGCAAAUGCAGGUUAACGAGAUGGUGCAUACCAUGGAUAUGCUCCUGGGCGAGUUCCACGAUUACCAGACUGCGUGGGAUAUCCCCUGAUGGAUGACGAGCUAUCCAGGAUGAAUAUAUACUGAAGACUCCGUUGCCAUGUCCCUGGCAUACGUAAUGAGGCGAGUAACUUGCCACGAGGGUGUCUGCCACUCGCCACACUGGAGCAUGUUUUGAAUACAAGGAUUGUUGGUGCAUAGGAUGUUCCUCUGGCUUUCUUGGCAUGUGCAGUAUAGAAGGCCUCAAGGUAUGGGACCUUUGGUGAGUCUUAGGCCCCGACGGGAGUCUCUACUGCCUCAUGGUGGCAGUCACACUCAUAAGGGCGUAAAGAACUAUUUUACAGACGGUCGCUGUUCAGUUGACCCGUAGCUGUAUCGGCAACAUUAAGGAAAGACUUCGUGGGAUUUCCCCUGAUGGAUGACGAGCUAUCCAGUCUUAAGGAUGAAUAUCUACUGAACACUCCGUUGCCAUGGCCCUGGCAUGCGUAAUGAGGCGAGUAACUUGCCAUGAGGGUGUCUGCCACUCACCAAACUGGAGCACGUUUUGAAUACAAGGAUUGUUGGUGCAUAGGAUGUUCCUCUGGCUGUCUUGGCAUGUGCAGUAUAGCAGGCCUCAAGGUAUGGGACCUUUGAUGAUUUCCCUUCCGAGGCUGUGGGUUCAUUUCAAGUUACUGAAGCCACACCCCAACUGAAAUAAAUAUAUUUGGGCUUUAAAUGGUUGUCUUGACUUAACUUGACAGGCAUGCAUUUCUGCAUCGACC